UUGUUGGUAAGGUAAAAGCUUACCAAGGCUUCGAUCAGUAGCUGGUCUGAGAGGACGACCAGCCACACUGGGACUGAGACACGGCCCAGACUCCUACGGGAGGCAGCAGUGGGGAAUUUUGGACAAUGGGGGCAACCCUGAUCCAGCCGUGCCGCGUGGGUGAAGAAGGCCUUCGGGUUGUAAAGCUCUUUCAGCCGGAACGAAACGGUUACGGUUAAUACCCGUGACUACUGACGGUACCGGAAGAAGAAGCACCGGCUAACUACGUGCCAGCAGCCGCGGUAAUACGUAGGGUGCGAGCGUUAAUCGGAAUUACUGGGCGUAAAGCGUGCGCAGGUGGUUUUGUAAGUCAGAUGUGAAAGCCCCGGGCUCAACCUGGGAACUGCGUUUAAAACUACAAGACUAGAGUGUGGCAGAGGGGGGUGGAAUUCCGCGUGUAGCAGUGAAAUGCGUAGAGAUGUGGAGGAACACCGAUGGCGAAGGCAGCCCCCUGGGUCAACACUGACGCUCAGGCACGAAAGCAUGGGGAGCAAACAGGAUUAGAUACCCUGGUAGUCCAUGCCCUAAACGAUGUCAACUAGUUGUCGGGCCUUUACGGGCUUGGUAACGUAGCUAACGCGUGAAGUUGACCGCCUGGGGAGUACGAUCGCAAGAUUAAAACUCAAAUGAAUUGACGGGGACCCGCACAAGCGGUGGAUUAUGUGGAUUAAUUCGAUGCAACGCGAAAAACCUUACCUACCCUUGACAUGUAUCGAAGCCCGCAGAAAAGCGGGGGUGCCCGAAAGGGAACGAUAACACAGGUGCUGCAUGGCUGUCGUCAGCUCGUGUCGUGAGAUGUUGGGUUAAGUCCCGCAACGAGCGCAACCCUUGUCAUUAAUUGCCAUCAUUUAGUUGGGCACUUUAAUGAGACUGCCGG
RNAcentral lists this ribosomal RNA (916 nucleotides) under uncultured bacterium. RNAcentral's name for it is "bacterial SSU rRNA". It matches the Rfam family "Bacterial small subunit ribosomal RNA", at positions 246 to 1155 of the family's 1533-position model. The record is from RNAcentral.